ACUUAAAUUGAAGAGUUUGAUCAUGGCUCAGAUUGAACGCUGGCGGCAGGCCUAACACAUGCAAGUCGAGCGGUAGCACAGAGAGCUUGCUCUCGGGUGACGAGCGGCGGACGGGUGAGUAAUGUCUGGGAAACUGCCUGAUGGAGGGGGAUAACUACUGGAAACGGUAGCUAAUACCGCAUAAUGUCGCAAGACCAAAGUGGGGGACCUUCGGGCCUCAUGCCAUCAGAUGUGCCCAGAUGGGAUUAGCUAGUAGGUGGGGUAACGGCUCACCUAGGCGACGAUCCCUAGCUGGUCUGAGAGGAUGACCAGCCACACUGGAACUGAGACACGGUCCAGACUCCUACGGGAGGCAGCAGUGGGGAAUAUUGCACAAUGGGCGCAAGCCUGAUGCAGCCAUGCCGCGUGUGUGAAGAAGGCCUUCGGGUUGUAAAGCACUUUCAGCGGGGAGGAAGGCGUUAAGGUUAAUAACCUUGGCGAUUGACGUUACCCGCAGAAGAAGCACCGGCUAACUCCGUGCCAGCAG
RNAcentral lists this ribosomal RNA (526 nucleotides) under Klebsiella pneumoniae. RNAcentral describes it as "bacterial SSU rRNA". It matches the Rfam family "Bacterial small subunit ribosomal RNA", at positions 1 to 514 of the family's 1533-position model. The record is from RNAcentral. Lineage: Bacteria; Pseudomonadati; Pseudomonadota; Gammaproteobacteria; Enterobacterales; Enterobacteriaceae.